GUAGAAUUAGGUUAAAUUUAAACUUUUAGUUUUCAAAACUAAGAAUUUUUUCUAUU
This 56-nucleotide transfer RNA is filed under the name Mansonella sp. 'DEUX'. RNAcentral describes it as "tRNA-Trp". Lineage: Eukaryota; Metazoa; Nematoda; Chromadorea; Rhabditida; Onchocercidae. The record is from RNAcentral.